Molecule: small RNA, 99 nt
Filed under: Dasypus novemcinctus (nine-banded armadillo)
Lineage: Eukaryota; Metazoa; Chordata; Mammalia; Cingulata; Dasypodidae
Description: TUC338 (ENSDNOG00000035532.1)
Source: RNAcentral
CAUCAGGACAAGUACAGCACAGGCAGCUACAGUGGGAGCUUUCUCCACACCACUCCGUCCCUGUACCUCAACCCUGACCUGGAGGGACCACCUCUAGAG